RNAcentral lists this ribosomal RNA (422 nucleotides) under uncultured bacterium. Its description in RNAcentral is "partial 16S ribosomal RNA". It matches the Rfam family "Bacterial small subunit ribosomal RNA", at positions 355 to 794 of the family's 1533-position model. The record is from RNAcentral.
UGGGGAAUCUUAGACAAUGGGGGAAACCCUGAUCUAGCCAUGCCGCGUGAGCGAUGAAGGCCUUAGGGUUGUAAAGCUCUUUCAGCUGGGAAGAUAAUGACGGUACCAGCAGAAGAAGCCCCGGCUAACUCCGUGCCAGCAGCCGCGGUAAUACGGAGGGGGCUAGCGUUGUUCGGAAUUACUGGGCGUAAAGCGCACGUAGGCGGAUUAGUCAGUCAGAGGUGAAAUCCCAGGGCUCAACCCUGGAACUGCCUUUGAUACUGCUAGUCUUGAGGUCGAGAGAGGUGAGUGGAAUUCCGAGUGUAGAGGUGAAAUUCGUAGAUAUUCGGAGGAACACCAGUGGCGAAGGCGGCUCACUGGCUCGAUACUGACGCUGAGGUGCGAAAGCGUGGGGAGCAAAACAGAUUAGAUACCCUGGUAGU